RNAcentral lists this ribosomal RNA (1443 nucleotides) under uncultured organism. Its description in RNAcentral is "SSU rRNA". It matches the Rfam family "Bacterial small subunit ribosomal RNA". The record is from RNAcentral.
CUUAACACAUGCAAGUCGAGGGGCAUCAGGAAGAAAGCUUGCUUUCUUUGCUGGCGACCGGCGCACGGGUGAGUAACACGUAUCCAACCUGCCCUUUACUCGGGGAUAGCCUUUCGAAAGAAAGAUUAAUACCCGAUAGCAUAAUGAUUCCGCAUGGUUUCAUUAUUAAAGGAUUCCGGUAAAGGAUGGGGAUGCGUUCCAUUAGGUUGUUGGUGAGGUAACGGCCCACCAAGCCUUCGAUGGAUAGGGGUUCUGAGAGGAAGGUCCCCCACAUUGGAACUGAGACACGGUCCAAACUCCUACGGGAGGCAGCAGUGAGGAAUAUUGGUCAAUGGGCGCUAGCCUGAACCAGCCAAGUAGCGUGAAGGAUGAAGGCUCUAUGGGUCGUAAACUUCUUUUAUAUAAGAAUAAAGUGCAGUAUGUAUACUGUUUUGUAUGUAUUAUAUGAAUAAGGAUCGGCUAACUCCGUGCCAGCAGCCGCGGUAAUACGGAGGAUCCGAGCGUUAUCCGGAUUUAUUGGGUUUAAAGGGAGCGUAGGUGGACUGGUAAGUCAGUUGUGAAAGUUUGCGGCUCAACCGUAAAAUUGCAGUUGAUACUGUCAGUCUUGAGUACAGUAGAGGUGGGCGGAAUUCGUGGUGUAGCGGUGAAAUGCUUAGAUAUCACGAAGAACUCCGAUUGCGAAGGCAGCUCACUGGACUGCAACUGACACUGAUGCUCGAAAGUGUGGGUAUCAAACAGGAUUAGAUACCCUGGUAGUCCACACAGUAAACGAUGAAUACUCGCUGUUUGCGAUAUACAGUAAGCGGCCAAGCGAAAGCAUUAAGUAUUCCACCUGGGGAGUACGCCGGCAACGGUGAAACUCAAAGGAAUUGACGGGGGCCCGCACAAGCGGAGGAACAUGUGGUUUAAUUCGAUGAUACGCGAGGAACCUUACCCGGGCUUAAAUUGCAGUGGAAUGAUGUGGAAACAUGUCAGUGAGCAAUCACCGCUGUGAAGGUGCUGCAUGGUUGUCGUCAGCUCGUGCCGUGAGGUGUCGGCUUAAGUGCCAUAACGAGCGCAACCCUUAUCUUUAGUUACUAACAGGUUAUGCUGAGGACUCUAGAGAGACUGCCGUCGUAAGAUGUGAGGAAGGUGGGGAUGACGUCAAAUCAGCACGGCCCUUACGUCCGGGGCUACACACGUGUUACAAUGGGGGGUACAGAAGGCAGCUAGCGGGUGACCGUAUGCUAAUCCCAAAAUCCUCUCUCAGUUCGGAUCGAAGUCUGCAACCCGACUUCGUGAAGCUGGAUUCGCUAGUAAUCGCGCAUCAGCCACGGCGCGGUGAAUACGUUCCCGGGCCUUGUACACACCGCCCGUCAAGCCAUGGGAGCCGGGGGUACCUGAAGUACGUAACCGCAAGGAUCGUCCUAGGGUAAAACUGGUGACUGGGGCUAAGUCAUAACA